RNAcentral lists this ribosomal RNA (627 nucleotides) under uncultured bacterium. RNAcentral's name for it is "bacterial SSU rRNA". It matches the Rfam family "Bacterial small subunit ribosomal RNA", at positions 31 to 649 of the family's 1533-position model. The record is from RNAcentral.
GAACGCUGGCGGCAGGCUUAACACAUGCAAGUCGAGCGGUAACAGGGGGUGCUUGCACCCCGCUGACGAGCGGCGGACGGGUGAGUAAUGCUUAGGAAUCUGCCCAGUAGUGGGGGAUAGCCCGGGGAAACCCGGAUUAAUACCGCAUACGUCCUACGGGAGAAAGCAGGGGAUCUUCGGACCUUGCGCUAUUGGAUGAGCCUAAGUCGGAUUAGCUAGUUGGUGGGGUAAAGGCCUACCAAGGCGACGAUCCGUAGCUGGUUUGAGAGGAUGAUCAGCCACAUCGGGACUGAGACACGGCCCGAACUCCUACGGGAGGCAGCAGUGGGGAAUAUUGGACAAUGGGGGCAACCCUGAUCCAGCCAUGCCGCGUGUGUGAAGAAGGCUUUCGGGUUGUAAAGCACUUUCAGUGAGGAGGAAAACCUUACGGUUAAUAACCGUGAGGCUUGACGUUACUCACAGAAGAAGCACCGGCUAACUCCGUGCCAGCAGCCGCGGUAAUACGGAGGGUGCAAGCGUUAAUCGGAAUUACUGGGCGUAAAGCGCGCGUAGGUGGUUCGAUAAGCGGGAUGUGAAAGCCCCGGGCUUAACCUGGGAACGGCAUUCCGAACUGUCGGGCUAGAGUAU